UCUUCCCAACCCCUCCCAUGCC
RNAcentral lists this microRNA (22 nucleotides) under Picea abies (Norway spruce). Its description in RNAcentral is "pab-miR482o". Its record names the gene pab-miR482o. The record is from miRBase by way of RNAcentral. Lineage: Eukaryota; Viridiplantae; Streptophyta; Pinopsida; Pinales; Pinaceae.